This 2077-nucleotide ribosomal RNA is filed under the name Staphylococcus aureus. RNAcentral's name for it is "partial 23S ribosomal RNA". It matches the Rfam family "Bacterial large subunit ribosomal RNA", at positions 847 to 2925 of the family's 2925-position model. Lineage: Bacteria; Bacillati; Bacillota; Bacilli; Caryophanales; Staphylococcaceae. The record is from RNAcentral.
AGCUGGUUCUCUCCGAAAUAGCUUUAGGGCUAGCCUCAAGUGAUGAUUAUUGGAGGUAGAGCACUGUUUGGACGAGGGGCCCCUCUCGGGUUACCGAAUUCAGACAAACUCCGAAUGCCAAUUAAUUUAACUUGGGAGUCAGAACAUGGGUGAUAAGGUCCGUGUUCGAAAGGGAAACAGCCCAGACCACCAGCUAAGGUCCCAAAAUAUAUGUUAAGUGGAAAAGGAUGUGGCGUUGCCCAGACAACUAGGAUGUUGGCUUAGAAGCAGCCAUCAUUUAAAGAGUGCGUAAUAGCUCACUAGUCGAGUGACACUGCGCCGAAAAUGUACCGGGGCUAAACAUAUUACCGAAGCUGUGGAUUGUCCUUUGGACAAUGGUAGGAGAGCGUUCUAAGGGCGUUGAAGCAUGAUCGUAAGGACAUGUGGAGCGCUUAGAAGUGAGAAUGCCGGUGUGAGUAGCGAAAGACGGGUGAGAAUCCCGUCCACCGAUUGACUAAGGUUUCCAGAGGAAGGCUCGUCCGCUCUGGGUUAGUCGGGUCCUAAGCUGAGGCCGACAGGCGUAGGCGAUGGAUAACAGGUUGAUAUUCCUGUACCACCUAUAAUCGUUUUAAUCGAUGGGGGGACGCAGUAGGAUAGGCGAAGCGUGCGAUUGGAUUGCACGUCUAAGCAGUAAGGCUGAGUAUUAGGCAAAUCCGGUACUCGUUAAGGCUGAGCUGUGAUGGGGAGAAGACAUUGAGUCUUCGAGUCGUUGAUUUCACACUGCCGAGAAAAGCCUCUAGAUAGAAAAUAGGUGCCCGUACCGCAAACCGACACAGGUAGUCAAGAUGAGAAUUCUAAGGUGAGCGAGCGAACUCUCGUUAAGGAACUCGGCAAAAUGACCCCGUAACUCGGGAGAAGGGGUGCUCUUUAGGGUUAACGCCCAGAAGAGCCGCAGUGAAUAGGCCCAAGCGACUGUUUAUCAAAAACACAGGUCUCUGCUAAACCGUAAGGUGAUGUAUAGGGGCUGACGCCUGCCCGGUGCUGGAAGGUUAAGAGGAGUGGUUAGCUUCUGCGAAGCUACGAAUCGAAGCCCCAGUAAACGGCGGCCGUAACUAUAACGGUCCUAAGGUAGCGAAAUUCCUUGUCGGGUAAGUUCCGACCCGCACGAAAGGCGUAACGAUUUGGGCACUGUCUCAACGAGAGACUCGGUGAAAUCAUAGUACCUGUGAAGAUGCAGGUUACCCGCGACAGGACGGAAAGACCCCGUGGAGCUUUACUGUAGCCUGAUAUUGAAAUUCGGCACAGCUUGUACAGGAUAGGUAGGAGCCUUUGAAACGUGAGCGCUAGCUUACGUGGAGGCGCUGGUGGGAUACUACCCUAGCUGUGUUGGCUUUCUAACCCGCACCACUUAUCGUGGUGGGAGACAGUGUCAGGCGGGCAGUUUGACUGGGGCGGUCGCCUCCUAAAAGGUAACGGAGGCGCUCAAAGGUUCCCUCAGAAUGGUUGGAAAUCAUUCAUAGAGUGUAAAGGCAUAAGGGAGCUUGACUGCGAGACCUACAAGUCGAGCAGGGUCGAAAGACGGACUUAGUGAUCCGGUGGUUCCGCAUGGAAGGGCCAUCGCUCAACGGAUAAAAGCUACCCCGGGGAUAACAGGCUUAUCUCCCCCAAGAGUUCACAUCGACGGGGAGGUUUGGCACCUCGAUGUCGGCUCAUCGCAUCCUGGGGCUGUAGUCGGUCCCAAGGGUUGGGCUGUUCGCCCAUUAAAGCGGUACGCGAGCUGGGUUCAGAACGUCGUGAGACAGUUCGGUCCCUAUCCGUCGUGGGCGUAGGAAAUUUGAGAGGAGCUGUCCUUAGUACGAGAGGACCGGGAUGGACAUACCUCUGGUGUACCAGUUGUCGUGCCAACGGCAUAGCUGGGUAGCUAUGUGUGGACGGGAUAAGUGCUGAAAGCAUCUAAGCAUGAAGCCCCCCUCAAGAUGAGAUUUCCCAACUUCGGUUAUAAGAUCCCUCAAAGAUGAUGAGGUUAAUAGGUUCGAGGUGGAAGCAUGGUGACAUGUGGAGCUGACGAAUACUAAUCGAUCGAAGACUUAAUCAAAUU